This 77-nucleotide transfer RNA is filed under the name Candidatus Altimarinota bacterium. Its description in RNAcentral is "tRNA-Val". It matches the Rfam family "tRNA". Rfam says of the family: Transfer RNA (tRNA) molecules are approximately 80 nucleotides in length. Their secondary structure includes four short double-helical elements and three loops (D, anti-codon, and T loops). The record is from RNAcentral. Lineage: Bacteria; Candidatus Altimarinota.
GAGCGAUUAGCUCAGUUGGCUAGAGCGCCUGCUUGACUCGCAGGAGGCCACAGGUUCAAAUCCUGUAUCGCUCACCA